RNAcentral lists this ribosomal RNA (301 nucleotides) under uncultured bacterium. RNAcentral describes it as "partial 16S ribosomal RNA". It matches the Rfam family "Bacterial small subunit ribosomal RNA", at positions 509 to 809 of the family's 1533-position model. The record is from RNAcentral.
CAGCAGCCGCGGUAAUACGAAGGGGGCUAGCGUUGUUCGGAAUUACUGGGCGUAAAGCGCACGUAGGCGGAUACUUAAGUCAGGGGUGAAAUCCCGGGGCUCAACCCCGGAACUGCCUUUGAUACUGGGUAUCUCGAGUCCGGAAGAGGUGAGUGGAAUUCCGAGUGUAGAGGUGAAAUUCGUAGAUAUUCGGAGGAACACCAGUGGCGAAGGCGGCUCACUGGUCCGGUACUGACGCUGAGGUGCGAAAGCGUGGGGAGCAAACAGGAUUAGAUACCCCUGUAGUCCCUGUCUCUUAUAU